This is a long non-coding RNA of Mirounga angustirostris (Northern elephant seal), 864 nucleotides long. RefSeq lists it as uncharacterized. The transcript is spliced from 2 exons. The record is from RefSeq and is a predicted model, not a curated record. Lineage: Eukaryota; Metazoa; Chordata; Mammalia; Carnivora; Phocidae.
GGCAGAGAGCGGAAGUUUGCCUCGUAUCUACUUUGAAGUGUUUGAAUGGACUGAGGCACAAGCUCUCCCGCCAAACUACAAAUGCAGCGGCUCCGAACUACCAGCCCUCCAGCCCAUCAGGAAUCCACGCGCUUUCCUCACUUUCUGCUCUCCGCCUUUCUCCUUGCGGGGCACCCAGCCGUCCCCCAAGGCCCUCUCCGCGGUCGCUCUGCCUGAAGACUACCUGGUGCCCUUGGAAGCCAAUACUCCCGCCGCGCCCUCCCCCACCUUCUCCCCCCGGCUCCAGACCUCACCGGGGAACCCAGGCCACGAGGUCCGCGGCUCCCUCCCGCCUGCUCCCCUCGAAGUGACUCCGGCUUGGCUCGGCUCGGCUCGGAGGCGCCCUCGUGGCCACGCAGGCCUCUCCACCCUCCCGAUUGGGCCGGGCGGCGGCCGCGCCACCCAUCUCCCCGCGCCCUUGCCCAGCCAAACACCGGGAGUGGCGCCGCUUUCCCCGACCCGCCACUGGUGAGCGGAGCCCACAGGGAAACAAAGGGUCGGGCUCCAGGGCCGACGUGGCUAGGCCGAUCCUGGCCCGCUCUCCUCCAGGACCCCAACAAAGCCCGAGCCGCUGCCUCGCGCCCCCGGCCUGGCUUACCCAUCGGUCCCCGCACGCUUCUUGCCGGAGGGGUAAUCCUCCCCCAAGUCCAACCGGUGCCGCUUGGACAUCUUCGGUCUCUGCGAGCGGGCGGUUAUGAAGGAAGAAGAAAAAAAAGAAGCCGGCGGCUGUAUCGGUACAGUCGAGGGCAGCUACUUAACUCUGGAGGACCCCCACCCCUCCCGCUACAACAGCCUACACCGUGCGGCCGGAACCAGGAGCUAAAA